Molecule: ribosomal RNA, 1357 nt
Filed under: uncultured bacterium
Lineage: Bacteria
Description: bacterial SSU rRNA
Rfam family: Bacterial small subunit ribosomal RNA
Source: RNAcentral
GAUUAACGCUGGCGGCGUGCAUAACACAUGCAAGUCGAACGAUGAAACUUUAAUGAACCCUUCGGGGAGAAUUAAAGCGGAUUAGUGGCGAACGGGUGAGUAACGCGUGAGUAACCUGCCUUACACAAGGGGAUAGCCUUUGGAAACGAAGAAUAAUACCCUAUAAAACCAUAAAGGCACAUGCAAUUAUGGUCAAAGUAUUAGCGGUGUAAGAUGGACUUGCGUCUGAUUAGCUAGUUGGUGAGAUAAAAGCCCACCAAGGCAACGAUCAGUAGCCGGCUUGAGAGAGUGUACGGCCACAUUGGGACUGAGACACGGCCCAGACUCCUACGGGAGGCAGCAGUGGGGAAUUUUGCACAAUGGGGGAAACCCUGAUGCAGCGACGCCGCGUGAUUUAGAAGGCCUUCGGGUUGUAAAAAUCUUUUGUAUAGGAAGAAAAUGACAGUACUAUACGAAUAAGGUCCGGCUAAUUACGUGCCAGCAGCCGCGGUAAUACGUAAGGACCGAGCGUUGUCCGGAAUCAUUGGGCGUAAAGGGUACGUAGGCGGCUAGAAAAGUUAGAAGUCAAAGGCUAUAGCUCAACUAUAGUAAGCUUCUAAAACUAUUUAGCUUGAGAGAUGGAAGGGAAAGUGGAAUUCCUAGUGUAGCAGUGGAAUGCGCAGAUAUUAGGAGGAAUACCGGUGGCGAAGGCGACUUUCUGGCCAUUUUCUGACGCUGAGGUACGAAAGCGUGGGUAGCAAACAGGAUUAGAUACCCUGGUAGUCCACGCCGUAAACGAUGAGUGUUAGGUGUCUGGAGUCAAAUCUGGGUGCCGCAGCAAACGCAUUAAACACUCCGCCUGGGGAGUACGCACGCGAGUGUGAAACUCAAAGGAAUUGACGGGGACCCGCACAAGCAGCGGAGCAUGUGGUUUAAUUCGACGCAACGCGAAGAACCUUACCAAGUCUUGACAUAUUUUAGAAGCACUUAGAGAGGAUUGCCUAUAUCUUCGGAUAACUAAAAUACAGGUGGUGCAUGGUUGUCGUCCGCUCGUGUCGAGAGAUGUUGGGUUAAGUCCCAUAACGAGCCCAACCCCUAUUGCUAGCUACCAUCAUGGAGUCGGGGACUCUAGUCAGACUGUCCGUGACAAACCGGAAGGAGAGGGGGGAUGACCUUCCAGGUCUUCACGCCCUUCUCUACUUGGGGGUCACACGGGGCGACAAUGGGGGGUGCACACGGCAGCGGGACUGUGAAAUCCAACGAACAUCCCAAACCCCGUCCCAUUUCGGAUUGCCCUCCUCAACUCGGGUUCCCUGAAAGUCGGGUAUCCUAGUAACCGGCAAUAAAAAUUGCCAGGCUGAAACUCUCCCCCGGGCCU